CCACGGAGACCAUGCAUCCUUACGGGAGGCAGCGCGACUGUAAAUAAUGCUGCCGUAUGCAAGUCAGCUUGCUGGCAACACGAUCGAAUUGCGGGGACCUCCUAAAGCUCAACCUACUCCCUGCCACCGAAAGGUGGUAGCAUAGUUAAAAUGGUUGGGAUGUUACAAUGGACGAUCCGCAGCGAAGACCCUAAAGCGUCAGCCACGGGUAACGUUCACAGACUAAGUGAUUGUGGGUAGGCUUCUACUU
This 250-nucleotide unclassified non-coding RNA is filed under the name plant metagenome. RNAcentral's name for it is "partial contains small subunit ribosomal RNA, internal transcribed spacer 1, and 5.8S ribosomal RNA". The record is from RNAcentral.